GCUGGACGAAAACUAACGAAUCGGAUACGCACGUAGUUCUGGCAUGGCGGGCUCUUUCGGACGCGGGUUCGACUCCCGCCGCCUCCACCA
RNAcentral lists this transfer-messenger RNA (90 nucleotides) under Bryobacteraceae bacterium. It matches the Rfam family "transfer-messenger RNA", at positions 284 to 374 of the family's 374-position model. From Rfam's summary of the family: Bacterial tmRNA, also known as 10Sa RNA or SsrA, is named for its dual tRNA and mRNA-like properties. Lineage: Bacteria; Pseudomonadati; Acidobacteriota; Terriglobia; Bryobacterales; Bryobacteraceae. The record is from Rfam by way of RNAcentral.